AGUAAUAUGUCUGAUUAAAAGUGUUAAAUUGUAAAUUUAUUUAUAGAAUUAUUAUUCUUAUUACUA
This 66-nucleotide transfer RNA is filed under the name Torymus sp. ZJUH_2016035. Its description in RNAcentral is "tRNA-Tyr". Lineage: Eukaryota; Metazoa; Arthropoda; Insecta; Hymenoptera; Torymidae. The record is from RNAcentral.